GUAGGUGGCAAGCGUUGUCCGGAAUUAUUGGGCGUAAAGCGCGCGCAGGUGGUUCCUUAAGUCUGAUGUGAAAGACCCCCGGGCUCAACCCGGGGAGGGGUCAUUGGAAACUGGGGAACUUGAGUGCAGGAGAGGAAAGUGGAAUUCCACGUGUAGCGGUGAAAUGCGUAGAUAUGUGGAGGAACACCAGUGGCGAAGGCGACUUUCUGGCCUGUAACUGACACUGAGGCGCGAAAGCGUGGGGAGCAAACAGGAUUAGAUACCCUGGUAGUCCACGCCGUAAACGAUGAGUGCUAAGUGUGGGGGGUUUCCGCCCCUCAGUGCUGCAGCUAACGCAUUAAGCACUCCGCCUGGGGAGUACGGUCGCAAAGACUG
This 375-nucleotide ribosomal RNA is filed under the name uncultured organism. RNAcentral's name for it is "partial 16S ribosomal RNA". It matches the Rfam family "Bacterial small subunit ribosomal RNA", at positions 527 to 896 of the family's 1533-position model. The record is from RNAcentral.